CACGUAGGGUGCGAGCGUUGUCCGGAAUUAUUGGGCGUAAAGAGCUCGUAGGCGGUGUGUCGCGUCGGCCGUGAAAACCUGCAGCUUAACUGUGGGCUUGCGGUCGAUACGGGCAUCACUGGAGUUCGGCAGGGGAGACUGGAAUUCCUGGUGUAGCGGUGAAAUGCGCAGAUAUCAGGAGGAACACCUAUGGCGAAGGCAGCUCUCUGGGACGGUACUGACGCUGAGACGCGAAAGCGUGGGGAGCGAACAGG
RNAcentral lists this ribosomal RNA (254 nucleotides) under uncultured bacterium. RNAcentral describes it as "partial 16S ribosomal RNA". It matches the Rfam family "Bacterial small subunit ribosomal RNA", at positions 524 to 776 of the family's 1533-position model. The record is from RNAcentral.